CAUUAGAUGACUGAAAUGCAAGUAUUGGUCUCUUAAACCAUAGUAUAGUAGUCUGCACCUACUUCUAAUGG
Molecule: transfer RNA, 71 nt
Filed under: Scarabaeidae sp. BMNH 1274750
Lineage: Eukaryota; Metazoa; Arthropoda; Insecta; Coleoptera; Scarabaeidae
Description: tRNA-Lys
Source: RNAcentral